Molecule: ribosomal RNA, 253 nt
Filed under: uncultured bacterium
Lineage: Bacteria
Description: partial 16S ribosomal RNA
Rfam family: Bacterial small subunit ribosomal RNA
Source: RNAcentral
UACGUAGGUGGCGAGCGUUGUCCGGAUUUACUGGGCGUAAAGGGAGCGUAGGCGGAUUUUUAAGUGAGAUGUGAAAUACUCGGGCUCAACUUGAGUGCUGCAUUUCAAACUGGAAGUCUAGAGUGCAGGAGAGGAGAAUGGAAUUCCUAGUGUAGCGGUGAAAUGCGUAGAGAUUAGGAAGAACACCAGUGGCGAAGGCGAUUCUCUGGACUGUAACUGACGCUGAGGCUCGAAAGCGGGGGGAGCAAACAGG